GAUUGAACGCUGGCGGCAUGCCUUACACAUGCAAGUCGAACGGCAGCACGGGUGCUUGCACCUGGUGGCGAGUGGCGAACGGGUGAGUAAUACAUCGGAACAUGUCCUGUAGUGGGGGAUAGCCCGGCGAAAGCCGGAUUAAUACCGCAUACGAUCUACGGAUGAAAGCGGGGGACCUUCGGGCCUCGCGCUAUAGGGUUGGCCGAUGGCUGAUUAGCUAGUUGGUGGGGUAAAGGCCUACCAAGGCGACGAUCAGUAGCUGGUCUGAGAGGACGACCAGCCACACUGGGACUGAGACACGGCCCAGACUCCUACGGGAGGCAGCAGUGGGGAAUUUUGGACAAUGGGCGAAAGCCUGAUCCAGCAAUGCCGCGUGUGUGAAGAAGGCCUUCGGGUUGUAAAGCACUUUUGUCCGGAAAGAAAUCCUUGGCUCUAAUACAGUCGGGGGAUGACGGUACCGGAAGAAUAAGCACCGGCUAACUACGUGCCAGCAGCCGCGGUAAUACGUAGGGUGCAAGCGUUAAUCGGAAUUACUGGGCGUAAAGCGUGCGCAGGCGGUUUGCUAAGACCGAUGUGAAAUCCCCGGGCUCAACCUGGGAACUGCAUUGGUGACUGGCAGGCUAGAGUAUGGCAGAGGGGGGUAGAAUUCCACGUGUAGCAGUGAAAUGCGUAGAGAUGUGGAGGAAUACCGAUGGCGAAGGCAGCCCCCUGGGCCAAUACUGACGCUCAUGCACGAAAGCGUGGGGAGCAAACAGGAUUAGAUACCCUGGUAGUCCACGCCCUAAACGAUGUCAACUAGUUGUUGGGGAUUCAUUUCCUUAGUAACGUAGCUAACGCGUGAAGUUGACCGCCUGGGGAGUACGGUCGCAAGAUUAAAACUCAAAGGAAUUGACGGGGACCCGCACAAGCGGUGGAUGAUGUGGAUUAAUUCGAUGCAACGCGAAAAACCUUACCUACCCUUGACAUGGUCGGAAUCCUGAAGAGAUUCGGGAGUGCUCGAAAGAGAACCGGCGCACAGGUGC
This 1022-nucleotide ribosomal RNA is filed under the name Burkholderia vietnamiensis. RNAcentral's name for it is "bacterial SSU rRNA". It matches the Rfam family "Bacterial small subunit ribosomal RNA", at positions 27 to 1041 of the family's 1533-position model. The record is from RNAcentral. Lineage: Bacteria; Pseudomonadati; Pseudomonadota; Betaproteobacteria; Burkholderiales; Burkholderiaceae.